This 492-nucleotide ribosomal RNA is filed under the name uncultured bacterium. Its description in RNAcentral is "partial 16S ribosomal RNA". It matches the Rfam family "Bacterial small subunit ribosomal RNA", at positions 29 to 507 of the family's 1533-position model. The record is from RNAcentral.
AGUGAACGCUGGCGGUAGGCCUAACACAUGCAAGUCGAACGGCAGCACAGUAAGAGCUUGCUCUUACGGGUGGCGAGUGGCGGACGGGUGAGGAAUACAUCGGAAUCUACUUUUUCGUGGGGGAUAACGUAGGGAAACUUACGCUAAUACCGCAUACGACCUACGGGUGAAAGCAGGGGAUCUUCGGACCUUGCGCGAUUGAAUGAGCCGAUGUCGGAUUAGCUAGUUGGCGGGGUAAAGGCCCACCAAGGCGACGAUCCGUAGCUGGUCUGAGAGGAUGAUCAGCCACACUGGAACUGAGACACGGUCCAGACUCCUACGGGAGGCAGCAGUGGGGAAUAUUGGACAAUGGGCGCAAGCCUGAUCCAGCCAUACCGCGUGGGUGAAGAAGGCCUUCGGGUUGGAAAGCCCUUUUGUUGGGAAAGAAAAGCAGCAGGUUAAUACCCCGCUGUUCUGACGGUACCCAAAGGAUAAGCACCGGCUAACUUCGUG